GACAGCAGCCGCCGCGGGAAUACAGAGGGUGCGAGCGUUAAUCGGAUUUACUGGGCGUAAAGCGUGCGUAGGCGGCUAAUUGAGUCGGAUGUGAAAUCCCCGAGCUUAACUUGGGAAUUGCAUUCGAUACUGGUUAGCUAGAGUGUGGGAGAGGAUGGUAGAAUUCCAGGUGUAGCGGUGAAAUGCGUAGAGAUCUGGAGGAAUACCGAUGGCGAAGGCAGCCAUCUGGCCUAACACUGACGCUGAGGUACGAAAGCAUGGGGAGCAAACAGGAUUAGAGACCCCAGUAGUCCCUGUCUCUUAUAC
RNAcentral lists this ribosomal RNA (306 nucleotides) under uncultured bacterium. Its description in RNAcentral is "partial 16S ribosomal RNA". It matches the Rfam family "Bacterial small subunit ribosomal RNA", at positions 507 to 807 of the family's 1533-position model. The record is from RNAcentral.